UUUAAUCAGUCUUGUAGCCAGUCAUCAUCUAAGACAAAUCAUGCAUCAUCUAUGAAUCUGCCCACAUCUACUAAUUCUUCUGCAACUUUAAGCGAUGAAGAGCUUGCAUUGCUUUUGCAUCAAGAACUCAAUAGUUCGCCUAGAGUUCCUCGUGUUCCACGUGUUCGUCAUGCAGGUAGCUUACCCCAGCUGGCUUCUGCCGCAGCAACAAGCAUGCUAAUAAAACGUACAUCUAGUUCUGGAGGAAGAGAUCAUAGUUUGGCUUCUAGAAGAAAAAAUAAGGAUGCAUCUAAAGAUGGUUUUCCCCGUUCUCAUGAGCCUGAUGAUGAGGCUAAAAAAACUGACAAGGUUCCAUGUUCACCUGAUCAGAAGAGGCAGGAUACAGGAUGUACUGCUGACGAUUUGUCUAAGAGAGAGGAUAAUAGAUCUCCGACGGCAGUACAUUCUGUAAAGAGAAGCAUCCCUCCUGCUUCCACCUCAACUGCAAACAGUGGCCCAUCUUCCCCUACUAAUGUUAAUGAACAUCAUUUUUCUUCUACACGUAAUUCACCAAGAAAUAUGUCCGAUGAGGAGACGAGCACUGUCCAGGGUACUGUUCAUCGCACUUUACCAGGCUUAAUCAAUGAGAUUAUGAGCAAAGGCAGGCGCAUGACAUACGAGGAACUCUGUAAUGCUGUCUUGCCGCACUGGCAUAACUUGAGGAAACAUAAUGGAGAACGUUAUGCAUAUUCAAGUCAUUCUCAGGCUGUUCUUGACUGCCUUAGGAACCGACAUGAGUGGGCUCAGUUGGUGGAUCGUGGUCCCAAGACAAACUCAAGUAGGAAGAGGCGCAAACUUGAUGCUGAGGAAUCAGAAGAUAAUGACUGUGGCAAGGGAAGAAAUGCGAAGGAGGGUGAAAGUAAAAGCCUUGAAUCACAAAGAGAAGAGUUUCCCAAGGGCAAGCGGAAAGCAAGGAAACGAAGGCGUCUGGCACUGCAAGGAAGAGGAAUAAAGGAAAUUAGGAAGAGUCGGAAGGCAGAUUUGCUUACUGAUGAUGAUAGUGGGCCAUUUUCUAAUUCAAGUGAUGAAAGUUUGUUCAGUGAAGAUGAGAUUCGGGGUGGUGGAGGCGGUCCAGUUGGAAGUGAGGCCUCAGCUAGCUCGGAUGAGACAGGGGCAAUGUGAUUGUUAAUGUUUGACUUUUGGUUUUUGGUCUGUGUUGUUGAUUUCAGGAGGAAGCCAGGCUUCUCCUUUUUCUGCUGGGAAUCUGGUAUGGUUAUCCUCUGAUGCGGCUGCCAUUAGUUUUCAGAGCUCAUGGAAUUUUAGCAAGUUAGUAAGGUGUCGCAAUCACUGUUGUAUGAUCCCCGUGGAAUUGUUACUGUUUUUAUGUCAGCCCAGUGAAACCCUAUAACCAGUUGCAUAUUAUCAUUGACCAUCCUGAAUGUCAUUGGUGGUGAGCAUAGUCUUGCAGGGAUGUGGGAUAUUGAGGCGUGGCUGAUUCUGAUAUUGAAAGUUAUAAU
This 1496-nucleotide unclassified non-coding RNA is filed under the name Hevea brasiliensis (rubber tree). The record is from RNAcentral. Lineage: Eukaryota; Viridiplantae; Streptophyta; Magnoliopsida; Malpighiales; Euphorbiaceae.